Long non-coding RNA from Homo sapiens (human), 867 nucleotides. RefSeq annotates it as OSMR divergent transcript. Lineage: Eukaryota; Metazoa; Chordata; Mammalia; Primates; Hominidae. The record is from RefSeq and is marked validated. The transcript is spliced from 3 exons.
AAACUUGGAAACCGAAAACUCGGCGGCCGAGGCUCCGUGCCCCGCGCGCAGCGCUGCUCCUGCCCCGGCCAAGGACGCACGGGCCAGCCGGCGGAACCAGAGGAGUGAAGCUUCAGAUCUUCGCAGUGAGUGUUACAGCUCAUAAAGGCAGCGUGGACCUAAAGAGUGACCAGCAGCAAGAUUUAUUGCGAAGAGCGAAUGAACAUAGCUUUCACAGUGUGGAAGGGGAGGAUUUUUAUAGUAUCAGGACUUGUAUUUAAGUCUUCAAUCCACUUUGAGUUGAUUUUUGUAUAUGGUGUGAAAUAAGAGUCCAUUUUCAUCCUAUGGCAAGUAAAUAUCCAGUUUUCACAACACCGUUUACUGAAGAGACCAUCCUUUCCCCAAUGUGUGUUCUUGGCACCUUUGUUGAAAAUGAAUGGACUAAAUUCAUAACUUGGCCUCUGGGCUCUCUAUUCUGUCCCACUGGUCUCUGUGUCUGUUUUUAUGGCAGUACCAUACUGUUUUGACUACUAUAGCUUUGUAAUAAAAUUACAGAUGCCUUACCAUUCCAUGUCAUUUCCUUCUGCUCUGUCCACACCAUUUUGAAUAAUUUAUUCCUUAAACUCCUUUCAGAUUACCAAAGUAUUUCCUAAUAAUUGGUUGUAUGUGCAUUAAAUAUCUCUAGAAGGAAACACAAAAAAACAAGUAAUCAUUUUCUAUGAGCUAGGAAACUGGGUGGGGAAAAAAACUUUUCAUUGUAUACUUUUACAAUUCUUAUUUUUGAAUAAUGUGGAUGCAUUAGCUAUAUAUGUGCAUGCAUAAUAUAUAUACAAAUAUACAUAAAUGUGUAUGUAGAUAUAUAAAUAAAUAAAAUGCAGUAAUAUCUAA